Molecule: ribosomal RNA, 404 nt
Filed under: Anaplasma platys
Lineage: Bacteria; Pseudomonadati; Pseudomonadota; Alphaproteobacteria; Rickettsiales; Anaplasmataceae
Description: bacterial SSU rRNA
Rfam family: Bacterial small subunit ribosomal RNA
Source: RNAcentral
UUUUGUCGUAGCUUGCUAUGAUAAAAAUUAGUGGCAGACGGGUGAGUAAUGCAUAGGAAUCUACCUAGUAGUAUGGGAUAGCCACUAGAAAUGGUGGGUAAUACUGUAUAAUCCCUGCGGGGGAAAGAUUUAUCGCUAUUAGAUGAGCCUAUGUUAGAUUAGCUAGUUGGUAGGGUAAAGGCCUACCAAGGCAGUGAUCUAUAGCUGGUCUGAGAGGAUGAUCAGCCACACUGGAACUGAGAUACGGUCCAGACUCCUACGGGAGGCAGCAGUGGGGAAUAUUGGACAAUGGGCGCAAGCCUGAUCCAGCUAUGCCGCGUGAGUGAGGAAGGCCUUAGGGUUGUAAAACUCUUUCAGUGGGGAAGAUAAUGACGGUACCCACAGAAGAAGUCCCGGCAAACUCC